UUCCUGAUGGCUGAGAUUAUUAAGCACCGAGCUUUUAACUCGACAACAGUACCUACACUUCAGGAACC
This 68-nucleotide transfer RNA is filed under the name Echyridella menziesii. RNAcentral's name for it is "tRNA-Lys". Lineage: Eukaryota; Metazoa; Mollusca; Bivalvia; Unionida; Hyriidae. The record is from RNAcentral.